GGGAGUAAAGAUAGACUAGCUGCCUUAAAGUAAGGAUGAAAAGAUCCCUUAUAAAAUGAAAGAAAUAGAAAGUUUCGCUUUAAGAUGUUAGUAUAUCCCGAAAGAGUAAUAGUUAAAUCUAGCUCGGGUUUCGGUAGUCGUGACUGAGAGGUCGAUCGACCACAUUGGGUAUGAAAAAAGCCCAAUGCGUAACGUACAGCAGUGGGGAAUAUUGGUCAAUGGUCUAACGACUGAACCAGCAAUUUGGAGGAAUGAAAAACGAAUAAGUCGUCUAAAGUUCUAGAUAAAAAAUUUAUGAUGACUAAUUUUUAUCUAUAAGUCUUGACCAAAUUACGUGCCAGCAGUCGCGGUAAUACGUAGAAGACAAGUGUUAUUCAUCUUUAGCAGGUUUAAAGGGUACCUAGACGGAAGAUCAAGCCUUAGUAGGGACUAAUUUUCUAGAGUUUUAUGUGAGAAGAUCGAAUUACCUGAAGAGCAAUAAAAUGCAUUGAUACAGGGAAGACGGGUAGCGGCGAAGGCAAUCUUCUAUGUAGAAACUGACGUUGAGGGACGAAGCCUUGGGGAGCGAGAAGGAUUAGAUACCCUAGUAGUCCUUGGAGAAAAUUAUGAGUGCCAUAGACUAGGUACUAGUUUAUAAAUGAAAGUGUAAGCAUUCCACCUCAUGAGUAAAGCGGCAACGCCGAAAUUGAAAUCAUUAGACCGUAUCUGAAACCAGUAGUGAAGUAUGUUAUUUAAUUCGAUGAUCCGCGAAUAACCUUACCACCUCUUGAAUAUUUUUACCAAGCGCUGCACGGCUGUCUUCAGUUAAUGUCGUGAGAUUUUGGUUUGUUCCAUUAAUUAACGAAAACCCCAUGUUUUAUUUUAUAUAUAAAGCAGUUCACCGUUAUAU
This 889-nucleotide ribosomal RNA is filed under the name Saxomyces sp. RNAcentral's name for it is "SSU rRNA". It matches the Rfam family "Bacterial small subunit ribosomal RNA", at positions 100 to 1160 of the family's 1533-position model. Lineage: Eukaryota; Fungi; Ascomycota; Dothideomycetes. The record is from RNAcentral.